Loxodonta africana (African savanna elephant) is the source of this 4499-nucleotide long non-coding RNA. RefSeq lists it as uncharacterized. The transcript is spliced from 2 exons. NCBI's taxonomy places the organism in Eukaryota, Metazoa, Chordata, Mammalia, Proboscidea, Elephantidae. The record is from RefSeq and is a predicted model, not a curated record.
AUACUUCAGUAACUCCCAAGGGGAGAGAAGUUAUUCAUCUAUGAAAAAAUUUUGAAACUCCUCCCAACAUGUUCUUAAGUUUCGAUUUCCUCAGUCAGGACAAAUGAAGUCUCUUUCCUGUAAACAACUUAGUUUCAGUAUGAAAAACUAGUGCAAAGUUAUGCUUUUUUUUUUUUUAAACAGAUACCAGUAGCUGAAAGGGGUGCCAUUAUCUGAACUUUUUAUCCAGCAGGCUUACAUAUGGGUUAGUAGAAACCAAAGUCUCUUGAAGGAGGCUGAAAUAUAAAAGGAGAAAGUGAGGCAGCCAGUGAAUUCUCCCUCCUUUCCUGUUCACACAGUGGUAGUGGCAGGAGAAGUUCUUAGAAGAGGAAUCUGUGGCUACCAGUACUUGACUGCAUCUCCUUAAUGGAGGCCGAUCAGCUAUCAAGUUCAUUGUGGCUUCAAUAGUAAGUGACACAUUCUCACAGUAAUUAGCAGCUGACAAACCUGGAGCCUAUCAGGGGUAUAAAAUCAUUGUGAAUAUGUCAAUUCUUCCUAGAGUAUUUAGAAAUGAAUUGUGCACUAGUGGCCCUAUUGAUUAUGACUUGCUGGUAGUUGCUGUUGAGUCAAUUCCAACUCAUGGCAACCCCAUGUGUGCAGAGUAGAGCUGCUCCACAGGGUUCAAUGUUGUGACUUUUCAGAAGCAGAUUACCAGGCCUUACUGUUUGCACUGCCCAGGGGCUCCUUCUUGAGUAUGACUAAACAACCCUAUAGGACAGAGUAGAACUGCCCCAUAGGGUUUCCAAGGAGCAUGUGGUGGAUUCAAACUGCUGACCUUUUGGUUAGCAGCGGUAGCUCUUAGCCUCUAUGCCACCAGGGUUUUCUGACUGUGACUAGGAUCCAUUAUUCUGUGAUUCAACUUCAUGAUUACUCUUGCCUUUCUGAAUUAUUCCCCAAAACAAGUGAAUAACAGGAUCACAUCGAAGCCUUGCAAAUUCUGCAAGAGCAUUGAGCCUCUGGAAGGGUUGAGGACCUGAUUAACAUUUUUUCUGCAAUGCUUUUUUUUUCCGUUGAGGAUAAUGGAGUCACUUUGGAGAACUUAAGGAGCCCCAGUGGCACAGUCGUUAAGCACAGUUCGAACCCACCAGGCACUCCACUCCACAGGAGAAAGAUGUGGCAGUCAGUUUCAGAAAUGAAAUGAUUACAGCCUUGGAAACCCUAUGGGGAAGUUCUACUCUGUUCUAUAGGAUCACUAUAAGUUGAAACUGACUCAAUGAUAAUGGGUUAUUUGGCUGGAGAACUUAAGUCCUGAGAUGUCAAAAAUGUAGCACUAAUCAACAGAUGGUAUUGUGCUAACCCUCUAGCUGAUCUGCAAGAGGGAUGAGGUCAUGACUGGAAAGAGGUUCUUAAAGUCCAGUUAAAUUUGGUAGAUGGCCUGAGGUUGUCUGAAGGGAAAAAUAAAGCUAAUUGGGUUAAUCUAAACUACUAUCAUGGAGGACAGAGUUGAAGUUUGGAUUUGGAAACUAUCUGAAUAAGCCAGAGGAAGUAGGCCAUAGUGAAGCAAGCAGGAUCUUGAGUGACUGCCAGAGCACCUAUGGUGUUCAUGAUUCACUUUUAUAGACCUUACUUUCCUGCCUAUGUGAAUGCAUUGAGCUGGUAUUAAGGUAAAGGGUUGAGAGAGACAUUAGGGAAAAUCAAUAGGGCCUCAACCCAGAGGUUAGGGGGUAGAUGAAACAAGGCAGGAAUGACCAUGAUUCAGAACAUUUUCUCGUUUAUUUUCUAGAAACUAAGUUACGUAGAGUGCUACCCUGUGUUGGUACUCCAGCAGACAAACACAAAUUAUCAGUCCAAAUGGAGUGAAGUCAGAGCAAUGCUCCCAAAAGUAUACUGCUAAGCUGGAAUUUUAGUAGAUGGACCAAAUAAAUGAGAAACAGGGGAGGGGGAAGGAGGCAGUCAUCUAGACUUUCAGGUAAAAAACUUUAAGGUAGUGACCAAUUAAUUGGUGAUUUGGGCCAUCAUACAGAUAAAAAGAAUUUAUUUAGCCCUCAACCCUUCUAGAGGCUCUUCCAUAAUUUGCAAGACUUUAUUAUUGUAAUGAUAUGAGCUCAUUACUUAUAAGUAGGAAAUGAGAGAAUGCCUAAUGUGGGAAAAAGAUGUCUGGAUAUAUCUGCGUGACCUGUUACCAUCCUAAGUACUAUUCCACUAGGACACCGGAAGUCCUCAGGAAAAGUCUCAAUCAGCUUGAUGUCCUAACUUAUCAGUCUAGAAGAUGCCAGAAGUAUAUUAAAGAGAAAAGCAAACAACAGAACAAUUUCACAAAAAAAAUAGCAAUCAAACCCUUUAACGUCGUAUUAGGCCCAGGGCUAAAAGAUAUAGUGGUAAGGUCUGUAGACUCAGAAAAAAAAUGGAACGGGAAACCGUUUGAGGUAUAGUCAAAUUAAAAACCCUUCUCUACUUUCUUAUUCCUAAGGGCCAGAACAAAACCUGUUAGUGCGUGAGCCUGACCUGGCCAGGUUGAUUUACUCAUUUCUAGCCAUCAGCCACCUUCACAAUGGGCCUCCUUUUACCUUCUCAGGAAAUUCAGUUUCUUUUUCAGGAGGAAAUGGAUUCCAGCCCUUUAGCUGCCAUGAUCUGACCUAUACAUCCUCCCUGCAGUGUGACAGCCAUGCUCUGCUUUGAAACCUACUCACUGGCUUACAGUCAGGAAACCCUCCAAAGACAGAGCUCUGGGCAACUGUGGAGCUCACCCUGUGAAUUUUCAUUUCAUCAGGGAAUCUAGCAUUUUUCCCUAUUGUUCAAUACCUAAAAGCUAUUGCCUCAUGUUUUUUAUUCAAUUGUGUCGUUGCUUAUCGUGGAUAGGCUAGUCUGGUACCAGUUACUCUGUCAUUACAAGGAGCAAAAGUCAAUAUACUUUAAAUGUUGAGUUUAGAUAUUUAAUGUCCUUAGGAGACCUGUACUAUCAUUUAGCGUAGAUUCAUUAUUCUUUCAUUUUUGCUUUACGCAUGCUUCCACCUGAUGGAAAUUUGGUCUGGAAGCUGUAUAUUAAGAAGAGGAACAGCAGAAAAUACAGUUGGAAAGCUGAUAAGAAGUUUUUUGUCUUAGAGCAAAUGAACGAGACUAGAUCUUUCAUACCAGCCAAAGGAGGUCCUAUUUGGAUCAAAAGUUGGGAGGAGCAUACACAGGGUGAGGGUUUUAAUGGAGCAAUGCUGUCGCUUAGAUUAGAAUCCAGAGAUGGCAGAUUUAGGGACUAUGAGAAGUGGGGCAAUGUAAGUGCAUAGGCAUGUCUGCAUGCCUGAAUGUGUCAGUAUUUGUAUUGGAAUUAUUUAUAUUCACGUUAGCUUUAGUUGUUGUAAACAACAACAACCAAAAAAAAAAAAAAAAACACACUUAGAUAGGGAAAGACUUUUUUCAGAAAGAAAAAGACUACUGCACUCUGGCCAUAGAUCAGGAAUGUCACAAGAAUUAGGCAAAAAAGGGUUUUUCUUUUAUAGAGAUAAGAGUAAAAAAAAAAAAAAAAAAGAGUAAAGGAGACUAGAAAAACCAGGUGUGGAGAAGUGAAGUGAAAGGAUGACAUGAUCAGAUAGUAAAUCAGAAAAUUUUCAUUUAUUUAUGUCCAUCUAUAUUUAUUGACGUGAAAAGAUUUUCACAGUAAAUUAAGUGAAAAGUCAUGUAUAUUGUGACGAUAUUUGUAUGGAGAUAUUCUGGAAGAAUAUAUACCAAAAUAUCGGCAGCAUUUGACUCCAGUUGGUGGAAUUUUAUUGAUUUUUACUCCUUUUGCUUAUCUAUAUUUCUUAAUGUUUAUAGAAUAAUAGCAAGUAAUCUGUGCAAUGAAAUAUACACUCUAUCAUACGCAAAAUAUGCUUACAAAUCAAUAUGAAAAAGCAAUAAUACCAGGGUGGGGGGAUGCGCAAGAGACAUGAACAGGUAAUUUAUCAAAUAAAUAGUACAACAUAACUACAACACAAUAAAAAGUGUUAAACUCUCAUAGUAAUUACAUUAAUGCAAACAAAAAUAGUACGCCAUUUUCACCCAUCAGCUCAGCAAAAAUAAUCUAGUGGAUGUAGGAAAUAGUAAUCCUCUAUCAAAGGUGGAAGAGUCCCUGGGUGGCGUAAAUGGUUAAGCGAUCAACUACUAACCAAAAUGUUGGAGGUUAGAGUCCAUCCAGAGGCAUCUCAGAAGAAAGGACUAGGCAAGCUACUUCCAAAAGGUCACGAAUUGAUAGACCCUAUGGAGCACAGUUCUACUUUUCCAUACAUGGGAUCACCAUGAGUUGGAACCAUUCGAUGACAAGUGGUUACCAAAGGUGACUCUAUCUAAUGGUACCAACAUCCUGAAAGACUUUUUCUCAAUAAGAAUUUGAAACUUCUAAAAUGUGCAUAUCCUUUGAUCCAAGAAUUCUGCUCCAGGGGUGGGGGAGGACAGACAAGAGUAUAAAGGUGUACAUUUAAGAAUAUUCAUAGUAAAAUAUUGGAAAUAAUCUCCAUGUCAUUAUGGUAAAUUUGCAUUAUAAUUGGGGAUGC